CAAAUACAUAAACUCCUUCUCCUUUCUUCCCCCUCCCGUCAUUUGUUUCUUUGUUUGUGUGCUCUGCACCUCCCGUGCUCGUUCUAAUAUCAAGUAAAAUACUACGGUGCCGUGACUCACAUUUGCGAAUAGACCUGAGGACCAUAAUUCAAGUCGCGCGUAACGUCGAAAGAAUCAUCUGCAAAAAAAUGGGUGCAACACGAGGACU
This 208-nucleotide long non-coding RNA is filed under the name Carica papaya (papaya). RNAcentral's name for it is "long non-coding RNA (CPAP_LNC004087)". Lineage: Eukaryota; Viridiplantae; Streptophyta; Magnoliopsida; Brassicales; Caricaceae. The record is from RNAcentral.